RNAcentral lists this long non-coding RNA (278 nucleotides) under Mytilus galloprovincialis (Mediterranean mussel). The record is from RNAcentral. Lineage: Eukaryota; Metazoa; Mollusca; Bivalvia; Mytilida; Mytilidae.
UUAAAUUACAUAGCUUUUGCUAUUUUAAUUCAUUGGUUAAAGAUAUUUAUUUAUAUUGUAAAGUUUAAUAUUUGCAUCGUUGCAAAUUCUUUGGUUACCUUCUGUGAGAAAUUUAUAUAUUUUAUAUAACUAGUUUUAGAUUCUUAUUUUGAAUCCUCUGAGGACUGACAUUCAGUCCAACCAAGGAAAGCCAGGCUUUCCAACCAAGUAUCCAUUAGGUUAGUGCAUUAGCUACAUGUCUCCUUAGUACGAGUUAAUUUGUAAUCAUUGAAUGCUCC